RNAcentral lists this ribosomal RNA (512 nucleotides) under uncultured bacterium. Its description in RNAcentral is "bacterial SSU rRNA". It matches the Rfam family "Bacterial small subunit ribosomal RNA", at positions 28 to 526 of the family's 1533-position model. The record is from RNAcentral.
GACGAACGCUGGCGGCGUGCCUAAUACAUGCAAGUCGAGCGGAGUUAUUCCUUCGGGGAUAACUUAGCGGCGGACGGGUGAGUAACACGUAGGUAACCUGCCUGUAAGACUGGGAUAACAUUCGGAAACGAAUGCUAAUACCGGAUACGCGAGUUGGUCGCAUGGCCGACUCGGGAAAGACGGAGCAAUCUGUCGCUUACGGAUGGACCUGCGGCGCAUUAGCUAGUUGGUGAGGUAACGGCUCACCAAGGCGACGAUGCGUAGCCGACCUGAGAGGGUGAUCGGCCACACUGGGACUGAGACACGGCCCAGACUCCUACGGGAGGCAGCAGUAGGGAAUCUUCCGCAAUGGGCGAAAGCCUGACGGAGCAACGCCGCGUGAGUGAUGAAGGUUUUCGGAUCGUAAAGCUCUGUUGCCAGGGAAGAACGCCUUGGAGAGUAACUGCUCCAAGGGUGACGGUACCUGAGAAGAAAGCCCCGGCUAACUACGUGCCAGCAGCCGCGAGUAAAAC